UCCUAUGUUUCAAACAUGUUGUUUAAAAGAAAUUGUUGUACUUGUUGAGCUUGUUAUGCUCACUCUUGCUUGAACCAUAUGAAUGCAGCUAGGGCCGAAUGAACCGAGGGAUCUGACAAGGAUAAAGGCAAGACGAAGAUGAACGAUUAGUUUAGCUUGUAAUAAACUAGUAAAUUGUAUAUAUUAUAGUAUGAUGAACAAAGAAUGUAAUGAUUUUAGAACCUGAGAACGAGAUGUAAUAUUAUUAAUGUAAUAAAAAUGCCGUUGAUACACAUUUAGAUGUUUUUUCAAUAGAAUGAAUGUACAGUUAUGAGUACCGUGUAACACCAUCUAUCGGGUUAGAAGAUACCCGAAUUUGGGGGCGUCACAAUCUCCAUCCCAACAUGAUGAAAUAUGAGCUAUUUUUUUCCUGGAAGGCUUGGAUGAAUAUCAUGAAUCUUCCUGUUCUUAGUGCAUUCCUUUGUUGAAGGACCAACUUUAAUUGGCAAAGAUUCUUUAUUGGCAUCUUCCAAAGUAUCCUAUUCAUGAAUAAUUGGGGUACUAAACUUUUAAUUUUUUACCAGAGGACUAUCGUGCUCACAAUACAUAUUCUCCCAAAUUACAUUGGGCCACUUUGUAUUUCCCUACAAAAUUAUUGGGUACAGGGAAUUAUGAGUGUCUAUUUUGUUAAUUUUAUCACUUUUGAGUGUUAUAAACAUUUGGCAGCUUUGGAUUGAGGGCAAUAGUGUAUCAAGUGGAAUUUCAUCGAACACCUUACCCGCAUCGCCCAUCUCUUCUAUAUUCACAAAGAGCACUCUUACUUCUGUGUUGGCUGCAAAGUUAGGGGAUGAGAAAUCAUAUUCUGGAACAAAAAUAAAAUUACCUUGUCAUGAAUUGAUUCAAUGCAAACUUGAUUAUUGAAUAAGCUUUGGUUUUUAAUUUCUGCAUAAAAUCCUCAUGAUCUCCAACCUAAAAAACAAUCGAAACAACAUUUUGAUGAAUCUCGUAUGUCGCAACUUUGAUUUCUUCACUUUUUGAGCCUAUGAUCUUCAUUUCAGAUAUCACCUCGAAACCUCUUCCACUGGAAGCUUUUAGUCAUCUAUUUUAUUCAUGACUUGCUUGACCUCUUCCUCCAUAAAACUCUGAAGUUCUUUCAUUAAUUCUAGAAUUUUCUUGAAAAGGUUUUCCAGGGUUAUAGAAUUUUGAUUUUCAAUUGGAAUAUUGUCUCACACCUUAAUCUGCCUCCUAAACCACUCAUAAUCUUUAAACCAGAAACUACUGAGUCUCCUGAACCUCAUCAAAAUCUACUUUCUCAAAUAGAUGCCCUAAAUAGUUUGACUUAUCUUUCCCUUAAAAAUCAAAACAAUCUAUUGAGUCAAAUAGAAUCACUAUAAUUGUCUGUGCAUCACCUCAGAGAUAUGCUAUAUAUGUUGAUGGAAAUUCAAAAGCUCUGUGUACCACCAUACCACUUUUCUACCAGUACAAGUUCUGCUAGAGGAGACCAGUCUGCUCAAACACCUCAGGAUAAUCCUCUACCUCCUCUUGGUCUAUAUUUCUCGCCUGCUCACUUGCCAGAUUUCUAACUAAUCGGGAGGACUGUAUAACUAUAUAUAUGUUAUAUCUAACUAUUCAGGAUGACUGUACUUAAUAAUGAUGAUAACAAUGCUCUAAAGAAGUUAGCAUAAUGUAUGGGAGAUUACAAGGCAAAUGCUUACUCAAAACACACUUCAUUAGUUCUAAAUCAAAAGGAUGGAGAAGUUUGAUUUCUCUAACAGGCAUAAUAUUGCACCUAAAGAUCUUAACCAUAAAUUGACACUGGGGAGUAAAAAACUCAAACCAACUUUGCAUGGAAAAUACCAGUCUAACUAGCUCAAUAUUUGUUACUAUGACCUCAUGUCUUUAGAAAGACAGGUUUUGCAAAACAAAGAGAAAGUGAGCAUGUCGUAUCACAACAAAAAGAAGCAACUCAUAAAUACUGCAAGAUUUUAUCAGAUACAUUUUCAUAUGAGAUGUGCAGAAACUCCUAACAAAAUCCAAUGCAGACAAAAAAAUAAAUCAACCCACAUACUAUUUCAGAGAAGGAAAAAAAUUAACUCAACAGAGAGAUGCAAACCUAUAAGUUCUUACCCAUAAUAGUAAACAUGCAUAUAUUCCUACACAACAGUCAUAGAAAUGGGAGUAGGAGAUGAGUUACAAUUUGAAUGACCAUAGAAAUAUCUUAGCACAUAAGAAGUGACUGAACACAGAUUUAGCCUCAACACAGAAGUCAAACAUAGAGAAGAAGCGAGAUAGUUUAUCCAGUCCCAACAUAGUAAGCAUACUCUGCGUAGAAGAUAUGAGUAAGAAAAAAAUACUUGAAAGCUUGUAAAAGCAUAUCCACAGAUUUGUCAUAUUUCUUCGCAAACUCAAUAGUCAAAUACACAUAUAGUUUGGUUAUACCUUCAGACUUCAAGCAAUGUGUAGACAGAGAGAUGCAUGCAACUAAAGUAUUAAAAAUAUAUUAGGGUUUAAACAGUUUACACACAAAAGGAAUUAAGGUUUUCAAAGAUCAAAAUUUUAGUGGUAAAAAUACAAAUAAUUUUUCAGAUCUAAUGUUGAAGUCUAAACUCUGAGAUUUAAGUUGUUAAAACCCAGUCUCAAAGUUUAGCCGAAGAAGAUGAUUUCUAAACAAAAUUAGGGCUUUGACAUAGUGAAAAUGAUUUGCGAUUAAAAGAAUGAAAUAAAACUAAUUUAGAAAAGUUAGGGUUUCGAAUCGAAAAGAAAAUCUGUGUUUAUCAAACUGAGAAAUUGACAAAUCCAUCAUCGCUUUUUAAGAAAAACAUGUAUCUAAAUGAUAGAUCAACUAAAAUAUACUGAAAGAAAGCUUUAAAAAAACUUUAUAAAUAUGAAAAUAAACGAGAUCCGAAAUAAAAACUAAAUAGAAACACAAGAUUGAUCGGUAGAAGGACUAAAUCGAUGGUGUAAAAUCAUUUUAUUGGUUCAGAUUUCUAGAAUUUGAAUUGGAGAUCAGACAUUUUUUGGUAGAAAUCGAUUAGGGUUUGAGAGAGAAUUGAGGAGAGAGAGAGAUAAGACGGUAGAAGAUAU
RNAcentral lists this long non-coding RNA (3063 nucleotides) under Panax ginseng (ginseng). RNAcentral's name for it is "long non-coding RNA (PGIN_LNC014980)". Lineage: Eukaryota; Viridiplantae; Streptophyta; Magnoliopsida; Apiales; Araliaceae. The record is from RNAcentral.